RNAcentral lists this ribosomal RNA (1203 nucleotides) under uncultured organism. RNAcentral describes it as "bacterial SSU rRNA". It matches the Rfam family "Bacterial small subunit ribosomal RNA", at positions 243 to 1431 of the family's 1533-position model. The record is from RNAcentral.
AGCUUGUUGGUGAGGUAACGGCUCACCAAGGCGACGACGGGUACCGGGACUGAGAGGUUGACCCGGCGCAUCGGGACUGAGACACUGCCCGGACUCCUACGGGAGGCUGCAGUAACGAAUAUUCCGCAAUGGGCGAAAGCCUGACGGAGCGACGCCGCGUGUGGGAGGAAGCCCUUCGGGGUGUAAACCACUGUCAGGGAUUACCAAGCAAAGUUGGCGAAUAGCCUUCUGCGUUGAGGCGUCCCAGAGGAAGCCACGGCUAACUUCGUGCCAGCAGCCGCGGUAAUACGAAGGUGGCGAGCGUUGUUCGGAAUCACUGGGCUUAAAGGGCACGCAGGCGGACUGUCAAGCGUCUUGUGAAAGCCCCCGGCUUAACCGGGGAAUUGCUGGGCGAACUGGCAGUCUUGAGGCAGGUAAGGGCGAGCGGAACUCUUGGUGGAGCGGUGGAAUGCGUAGAUAUCAAGAGGAACGCCGGAGGCGAAAGCGGCUCGCUGGGCCUGACCUGACGCUGAGGUGCGAAAGCCAGGGGAGCGAACGGGAUUAGAUACCCCGGUAGUCCUGGCCAUAAACGAUGUCCACUAGAUCGGUGAACUUCUGACAGUGCGCCGGUCGAAACAAAAGCGUUAAGUGGACCGCCUGGGGAGUACGGUCGCAAGGCUAAAACUCAAAGGAAUUGACGGGGGCUCACACAAGCGGUGGAGCAUGUUGCUUAAUUCGAUGCAACGCGAAGAACCUUAUCCUGGACUUGACAUGUUAGGAUGCCUCCCUGGAAACAGGGUUGGUUGCCCUUCGGGGUGAAACUUUCACAGGUGCUGCAUGGCUGUCGUCAGCUCGUGUCGUGAGAUGUUGGGUUAAGUCCCGUAACGAGCGAAACCCUUGUCGUUAGUUGCCAGCGCGUAAUGGCGGGGACUCUAGCGAGACUGCCGGUGUUAAACCGGAGGAAGGUGGGGAUGACGUCAAGUCCUCAUGGCCUUUAUGUCCAGGGCUGCAAACGUGCUACAAUGGCGUGUACAAACCGACGCAAGACCGCGAGGUGGAGCAAAUCGGAAAAAGCACGCCCCAGUUCGGAUUGGAGUCUGCAACUCGACUCCAUGAAGUCGGAAUCGCUAGUAAUCGCGUAUCAGCUCGACGCGGUGAAUGUGUUCCUGAGCAUUGUACACACCGCCCGUCAAGUCAUGGAAGCUGGGAGCGCCCGAAGUCGGC